Molecule: long non-coding RNA, 203 nt
Filed under: Olea europaea (common olive)
Lineage: Eukaryota; Viridiplantae; Streptophyta; Magnoliopsida; Lamiales; Oleaceae
Description: long non-coding RNA (OEUR_LNC004766)
Source: RNAcentral
AAACAUUUUCGAUAGAGGGGGAUGAGUGGUUACCAAUGUUUCCAAUGCCGAUUAUCUUACCUUUGGCAUUAUCUCCAAAGGUCACAUGACCUCCAUCAUUCUCUUGAAAAUUUGAUAAUAAUGAUCGUUCACCGGUCAUAUGCUUCGAGCAUACACUAUCCAAGAACCAUUUACUUUUUAUUUUCUUUGGUACCUACAAAGAC